RNAcentral lists this ribosomal RNA (388 nucleotides) under Gephyrocapsa sp. Its description in RNAcentral is "partial small subunit ribosomal RNA". It matches the Rfam family "Eukaryotic small subunit ribosomal RNA", at positions 582 to 975 of the family's 1831-position model. The record is from RNAcentral. Lineage: Eukaryota; Haptophyta; Isochrysidales; Noelaerhabdaceae.
AUUCCAGGUCCAAUAGCGUAUAUUAAAGUUGUUGCAGUUAAAACGCUCGUAGUCGGAUUUCGGGGCGGGCCGACCGGUCUGCCGAUGGGUAUGCACUGGCCGGCGCGUCCUUCCACCCGGAGACCGCGCCUCCUCUUAACUGAGCGGGCGCGGGAGACGGGUCUUUUACUUUGAAAAAAUCAGAGUGUUUCAAGCAGGCAGUCGCUCUUGCAUGGAUUAGCAUGGGAUAAUGAAAUAGGACUCUGGUGCUAUUUUGUUGGUUUCGAACACCGGAGUAAUGAUUAACAGGGACAGUCAGGGGCACUCGUAUUCCGCCGAGAGAGGUGAAAUUCUCAGACCAGCGGAAGACGAACCACUGCGAAAGCAUUUGCCAGGGAUGUUUUCAUCA